AGGGCACCACCAGGAGUGGAGCCUGCGGCUUAAUUUGACUCAACACGGGAAAUCUCACCAGGCCCGGACACUGGAAGGAUUGACAGAUUGAGAGCUCUUUCUCGAUUCGGUGGGUGGUGGUGCAUGGCCGUUCUUAGUUGGUGGAGUGAUUUGUCUGGUUAAUUCCGAUAACGAACGAGACUCUGUCCUGCUAAAUAGUUCCCGCGUCCUUUGUUGCGCGGGAAAUUCUUCUUAGAGGGACUGGCGGCGUCUAGCCGCACGAGAUUGAGCAAUAACAGGUCUGUGGUGCCCUUAGAUGUUCUGGGCCGCACGCGCGCUACACUGAAGGGAUCAGCGUGUCUUCCCUUCCCGAGAGGGACGGGUAACCCGCUGAACCCCCUUCGUGGUAGGGAUCGGGGCUUGCAAUUAUUCCCCGUGAACCAGGAAUUCCCAGUAAGCGCAAGUCAUAAGCUUGCGUUGAUUACGUCCCUGCCCUUUGUACGCACCGCCCGUCGCUACUACCGAUUGAACGUUUUAGUG
This 519-nucleotide ribosomal RNA is filed under the name uncultured eukaryote. RNAcentral's name for it is "SSU rRNA". It matches the Rfam family "Eukaryotic small subunit ribosomal RNA", at positions 1161 to 1703 of the family's 1831-position model. The record is from RNAcentral.